UUCCAGGAUACCCCUCAAACAAAAAGAAUAUGCUCCCUUCAAUUCAUCCAUUGCAGUGAUGCAGAGAGGUGUUCAUAAAGAGCAAUAUCAGAUGGCACCCCAAAAAAGGAUAUGAAAGAACACCAAAAGGGAACUCUAAAGAUUUAGUUGGAAAAGUAGAUGCAGAGAGGUGUUCAUAAAGAGCAAUAUCAGAUGGCACCCCAAAAAAGGAUAUGAAAGAACACCAAAAGGGAACUCUAAAGAUUUAGUUGGAAAAGUAGCUUCAGUCAUCCUAGCCUAGUCUGUGAUGCUGGGAAAAAACGUAAUAUGCUGUUUAUUGCAGCACUAUUCACAAUAGCAAAGACUUGGAACCAACCCAAAUGUCCAACAAUGAUAGACUGA
Molecule: long non-coding RNA, 381 nt
Filed under: Homo sapiens (human)
Lineage: Eukaryota; Metazoa; Chordata; Mammalia; Primates; Hominidae
Description: HSALNT0320183
Source: RNAcentral